RNAcentral lists this ribosomal RNA (372 nucleotides) under Triticum aestivum (bread wheat). RNAcentral describes it as "partial small subunit ribosomal RNA". Lineage: Eukaryota; Viridiplantae; Streptophyta; Magnoliopsida; Poales; Poaceae. The record is from RNAcentral.
AUGGAAAACGAGAAGGGGUCCUCCUUGGCCGUGUACAGUUACGGCGACCUCCGUGCCGCCACGAAGAACUUCUCAGAGCGGCUGGGCGGCGGCAGCUUCGGCUCGGUGUACCGCGGUGUCCUGAAGCGGCAUAAAGGAGACAACGCAAUCCAGGUCCAUGUGGCAGUGAAGAAGCUGGAAAGUCUUGGUGGGAGGCAGGGCGACAAGCAGUUCUGGGCCGAGGUGAGCACGUUGGGACUCAUCCAGCACGUGAACCUUGUCCGUCUCCUCGGGUUCUGCUCAUCCGGCGUCGAGAAGAUGCUCGUUUACGAGUACAUGCCCAGAGGCUCCCUCGACCGCUACCUCUUCGGCAGCGGCGUGAGCCCGAGCUAG